Molecule: long non-coding RNA, 960 nt
Filed under: Helianthus annuus (common sunflower)
Lineage: Eukaryota; Viridiplantae; Streptophyta; Magnoliopsida; Asterales; Asteraceae
Description: hypothetical non coding rna
Source: RNAcentral
GGGAGGGGGGCGUGGCUGGCACCAGCUUCAAGGCAAUUUGGUUUUGUGGUGGAGGCCACAACUUCAAGGCAAUUUGGUUGUUUCAUUUACAUCUAGGGUGCGACGUGUCCUUUUUCCAGCCUCUAUAUGACACAUGGCAAUUUAUUUAGGCUACAAAUGACACAUGGCAUUAGUAUGCUUCGUUUCUCAUUCCCAAUCAUCAACCUUAAAAACGCAGACCCGUUUUACAAAUUUCAGGUCAAGUACGCGUUGGUUUAAAAGGCAUCUUAUAACCUGAAAUUGUUCAUUAUUCAACAUCGCAUUAGGGUUUCACCUUAUUCUCUCUCGCUUUCUUCUCCGCCGAUCAUUAAGAUCUUCAAAUUAAUCUUCAAAUCAAGGUUCUUCAAAUCAAGGUUAUUCAAAUCAAGGUUAUUCAAAUCAAGGUUACAAGGUUAGGUCACGGAUAUAUCAAUUAAUCAUGUUUUCUCCAUUAGGCGAAACCAUUCAAAUUUGAUUUUGAUUGUUUCCGUAUUUGUAUUCCUUCAUAUCUAGGGUUCUGCAUCUUGGAUCGAUUUUCUUUUCUGAUUCUGAUUCACAAAGAUACGAAUCCCUUCUUUAUGUAUUAUGAAGAUUUAUGGUUGAUAUUAUAUUAUUGUUUUUGGAUUCUGUAGAUUUCAAAAGAUCUAAACAUAUCAUAUUAAGUGGUCUUUGUGUUUUUAACGUCUUGGAGCACAAAUCUUUGAUUUUGUUCUAAUGGCUUCAUCACCAAGGUAUAAGAUCUAAGGUUUAUAUGUGUUGUUUGAUUUCUUAAAGGUUUGCUUAGAUUAUAUUUAUUUCAUUAUCGAAUACAUAAUAUUAUGUAUAAGGAACCAGAGUAUUUAGUAAACAUAUGUAUAACAACUCUCCUAAAAGUCUUAUAACACCCUAUACGCCCUAAAAUACAUCCCGUAUACAAAAAGUGGGCCCCAAAUACCUUAAUUU